This is an RNA transcript of Grammomys surdaster, 750 nucleotides long. It is a transcript of the gene named elongation factor 1-beta pseudogene, with no coding region annotated. The record is from RefSeq and is a predicted model, not a curated record. The transcript has a single exon. Lineage: Eukaryota; Metazoa; Chordata; Mammalia; Rodentia; Muridae.
GGCACUCGGCUCCGGGUUACAGCCGACACCAUGGGUUUCGCAGACCUGAAAACCCCUGCCGGCCUCCAGGUGCUCAACGAUUACCUGGCGGACAAGAGCUACAUUGAGGGGUAUGUGCCAUCACAAGCAGAUGUGGCAGUAUUUGAAGCAGUCUCUGGGCCACCACCCUCUGACCUGUGUCAUGCCCUGCGUUGGUAUAAUCACAUCAAGUCUUACGAAAAAGAAAAGGCCAGCCUGCCGGGAGUGAAGAAAUCUUUGGGCAAGUAUGGCCCUACCAGUGUGGACGACACCACAGGAAGUGGAGCUGCAGAUGCUAAAGAUGAUGAUGACAUUGAUCUCUUUGGAUCUGAUGAGGAGGAGGAAAACAAAGAAGCAAAGAGGCUACGAGAAGAAUGCCUUGCACAGUAUGAAUUAAAGAAAGCUAAAAAGCCUGCAGUUGUUGCAAACUCUUCCAUCUUACUAGACGUGAAGCCUUGGGACGAUGAGACAGACAUGACAAAACUAGAGGAGUGUGUCCGAAGCAUUCAAGCAGAUGGCUUGGUGUGGGGCUCCUCUAAAUUGGUUCCAGUGGGAUACGGAAUUAAAAAGCUUCAAAUACAGUGUGUGGUUGAAGAUGAUAAGGUUGGAACAGAUAUGCUGGAAGAGCAGAUUACCGCUUUUGAGGACCACGUACAGUCCAUGGAUGUGGCUGCUUUUAACAAAAUUUAAGACAUCCUCAAGUCAGUGCACUUGAAUAAAAGCUUGAAAGAU